UACAGAGGGUGCAAGCGUUAAUCGGAAUUACUGGGCGUAAAGGGUGCGUAGGUGGUUGAAUUAGUUAGGUGUGAAAGCCCCGGGCUUAACCUGGGAAUUGCGCCUAAUACUGUUUGACUAGAGUACUGUAGAGGAAGGUGGAAUUUCCGGUGUAGCGGUGAAAUGCGUAGAUAUCGGAAGGAACAUCAGUGGCGAAGGCGACUUUCUGGACAGAUACUGACACUGAGGCACGAAAGCAUGGGGAGCAAACAGG
This 253-nucleotide ribosomal RNA is filed under the name uncultured bacterium. RNAcentral describes it as "partial 16S ribosomal RNA". It matches the Rfam family "Bacterial small subunit ribosomal RNA", at positions 524 to 776 of the family's 1533-position model. The record is from RNAcentral.